UUUGGGUUUCUAAAAAUACAUAUCAGGUUGCAGUUAUUUUCUGGUGUAACCCUUUUGACAGUUAUUUUCGACAUGAACUUGCUAAUGAAAAGCCAUCAGAAACUACCACAAUUGUUGCCCAAGACACUUCUGGUUCUAUUUCUAUUAAGAAAUUAUUAAUUUUAAAUAUAGUUUGAUGUUUAUCUGAUAUAUAUUCAGUAUGAUGUAUUGUUGAUAUUGUUCUCUAAGACACUGUUGGUGUUGUAUGUUUACUUGUAGGUUUUUAAUAUUAUCAAUCUUGGACACUCACUCUCCAUAGAGCCUUGGUUCAGGGUCUUAUUGCACAAGAUAUCAAAGUACGACUGUUCUGAGUAAACAUUAACUUCUUGGUUUUGUUUCUUUAUUGCUGAACAAUUUGAAACUUUUUUUGAGUUAAAUCUGCAGGUUUAACUUGCAGGUUGAACACAUAUACUUUAUUGUGAAGAGAAUGUAUGUUUUAGUGUUGAGUGUAGGUAUGCAACGUUGAAAUCUAUGGCUUAUUUUCUUGUCUCAUUGUGUAUGCUAAAUCAAGGAAAUUAGUAGUUUGUUGAAUUUGGGAUCAGAUGUUUCAGCUGAGUACGGGGUUGCAGUUGCCACUGAUUCUGGAGGUGUAUAGCCUGAUUGUUUUAUUCUUCAUGAAUGUUGCAAGGGAUCCAAUGGCUUAAAUUCCAAUUCAGAUGUCGGGAUUUAUGGUCAAGAAGAUGGAAACAAUAAUCAAACAGUGAACUCAAUCUCAAGUUACAUGUCAAGCAAAUGUUCUCUUGAUAAUGAUAAUUUUUUUUAACAUUACAACAAGCUUUAGUUUUUGAGGUUUGGAUUCUCUAUCGUCGCGGAUUUUCACUUACAACCUCUGCCUGUAUUGUGUAGGAUGUUGGACUCCUUGCUAGGCAUACCAGUACCGUGUCAAUAAUGGACACUGAAUUAAAUGAUGAAUUUUGAAAUCCUAUUUGGAGAAAUAGAGUGGAAAGUUGGAAGGAAAAGGACAAAAACAAUAAGAAGAAAAAGGCAGCACCUAAGGCUGAAAAUGAGAAGCAAUGAACUUCAUCUCCCUACUACACGUGAAUCAUAUAUUUUAUACACAAAUAGAAGUGGUGAUCCAUAGAUAUAAUUUGAUAUUUGAUAGUAAUGCUAUACCUGUAUUGUAUAUGUGACUAUGUUUUUGCAGAUUUUGAUAUUCAAGAGAGUUCUGAAAUAGAUAGCCUUGUAUAUUAAAGGAACAGUAAUCCUAAUGAGAAAAAUAUAACUUAAAAUACA
This is a long non-coding RNA of Vicia villosa (hairy vetch), 1272 nucleotides long. RefSeq lists it as uncharacterized. NCBI's taxonomy places the organism in Eukaryota, Viridiplantae, Streptophyta, Magnoliopsida, Fabales, Fabaceae. The transcript is spliced from 2 exons. The record is from RefSeq and is a predicted model, not a curated record.